UCUUUCGUAGUAUAGUGGUUAGUAUGCGAGCUUGUCAUUCCAAACACAACGCUCGAGACCCGGGUUCAAUUCCCGGCGAGAGAG
Molecule: transfer RNA, 84 nt
Filed under: Gaeumannomyces tritici R3-111a-1
Lineage: Eukaryota; Fungi; Ascomycota; Sordariomycetes; Magnaporthales; Magnaporthaceae
Description: tRNA GGTG_20269
Rfam family: tRNA
About the family: Transfer RNA (tRNA) molecules are approximately 80 nucleotides in length. Their secondary structure includes four short double-helical elements and three loops (D, anti-codon, and T loops).
Source: Rfam by way of RNAcentral